UACGUAGGGGGCAAGCGUUGUCCGGAUUUAUUGGGCGUAAAGAGCGUGUAGGCGGCCAGACAGGUCCGUUGUGAAAACUCGAGGCUCAACCUCGAGACGCCGAUGGAAACCGUCUGGCUAGAGUCCGGAAGAGGAGAGUGGAAUUCCUGGUGUAGCGGUGAAAUGCGCAGAUAUCAGGAAGAACACCCGUGGCUAAGGCGGCUCUCUGGGCCUGUCCUGACGCUGAGGCGCGAAAGCUAGGGGAGCGAACAGG
Molecule: ribosomal RNA, 253 nt
Filed under: uncultured bacterium
Lineage: Bacteria
Description: partial 16S ribosomal RNA
Rfam family: Bacterial small subunit ribosomal RNA
Source: RNAcentral